CAGUGGAUAGUUUAUUUUUAAAAUAUUAAUUUUGGGUAUUAAUGAAGCAUGAAUUGUUCCGCUGA
This 65-nucleotide transfer RNA is filed under the name Paraplea frontalis. RNAcentral's name for it is "tRNA-Pro". Lineage: Eukaryota; Metazoa; Arthropoda; Insecta; Hemiptera; Pleidae. The record is from RNAcentral.